AUGAGUUUUCAUGAAGAUGAGGGCACCAACAGAGGCCAAUCCACAGAACUGAAGCCACACAACCUAGAUGCAUGUAUGUCAGAAAGCGGAGAUGAAUGGGGAUUGGACCCGGAGGAGCUACAAAAAGUGUGCUAUGAGGCGGAAAAGGCAUUUGCAUUGAAGAAAGAAAAGGAGAGGCUAGAGAUGGAGGAGAGGCUAAGAAAUGGAAGGCAAAUCAACGAUCAAAAUUCAAAAACAUCAGUCAUAGCAACCACAAAUGCAGAAAAUGUCGCUAGCUCAUCAAGGACUCCAGCAGCGGUUGGGAACGAGCGGAGAGUUCGAGCCCAUCAUAAACUAUGA
RNAcentral lists this ribosomal RNA (339 nucleotides) under Triticum aestivum (bread wheat). RNAcentral describes it as "partial small subunit ribosomal RNA". The record is from RNAcentral. Lineage: Eukaryota; Viridiplantae; Streptophyta; Magnoliopsida; Poales; Poaceae.